GACGAACGCUGGCGGCGUGCUUAACACAUGCAAGUCGAACGGAAAGGCCCUGCUUUUGUGGGGUGCUCGAGUGGCGAACGGGUGAGUAACACGUGAGUAACCUGCCCUUGACUUUGGGAUAACUUCAGGAAACUGGGGCUAAUACCGGAUAGGAGCUCCUGCUGCAUGGUGGGGGUUGGAAAGUUUCGGCGGUUGGGGAUGGACUCGCGGCUUAUCAGCUUGUUGGUGGGGUAGUGGCUUACCAAGGCUUUGACGGGUAGCCGGCCUGAAAGGGUGACCGGCCACAAUGGGACUGAGAUACGGCCCAGACUCCUACUGUAGGCAGCAGUGGGGAAUAUUGCACAAUGGGCGGAAGCCUGAUGCAGCAACGACGCGUGCGGGAUGACGGCCUUCGGGUUGUAAACCGCUUUCGCCUGUGACGAACCGUGAGUGACGGUAAUGGGUAAAGAAGCACCGGCUAACUACGUG
Molecule: ribosomal RNA, 468 nt
Filed under: uncultured bacterium
Lineage: Bacteria
Description: partial 16S ribosomal RNA
Rfam family: Bacterial small subunit ribosomal RNA
Source: RNAcentral